Molecule: ribosomal RNA, 495 nt
Filed under: uncultured bacterium
Lineage: Bacteria
Description: partial 16S ribosomal RNA
Rfam family: Bacterial small subunit ribosomal RNA
Source: RNAcentral
GACGAACGCUGGCGGCGUGCCUAAUACAUGCAAGUAGAACGCUGAAGGAGGAGCUUGCUUCUCCGGAUGAGUUGCGAACGGGUGAGUAACGCGUAGGUAACCUGCCUGGUAGCGGGGGAUAACUAUUGGAAACGAUAGCUAAUACCGCAUAACAGUAGAUGUUGCAUGACAUUUGCUUAAAAGGUGCAAUUGCAUCACUACCAGAUGGACCUGCGUUGUAUUAGCUAGUUGGUGAGGUAACGGCUCACCAAGGCGACGAUACAUAGCCGAACGGGGAGGGUGGUAGGCCACCCUGGGACUGGGACACGGCCCAGACGCCUGCGGGAGGCAGCAGUAGGGAAUCGUAGGCAAUGGACGGAAGUCUGGCCGAGCAACGCCGCGUGAGUGAAGAAGGUUCUCGGAUCGUAAAGAUCUGUUGUAAGAGAAGAACGAGUGUGGGAGUGGAAAGUUCACACUGUGACGGUAUCUUAACAGAAAGGGACGGCUAACUACGUG